RNAcentral lists this transfer RNA (72 nucleotides) under Candidatus Pacearchaeota archaeon. RNAcentral's name for it is "tRNA-Asp". It matches the Rfam family "tRNA". Rfam says of the family: Transfer RNA (tRNA) molecules are approximately 80 nucleotides in length. Lineage: Archaea; Nanobdellati. The record is from RNAcentral.
GCCCUAAUCGUAUAGUGGUUAGUACAUGUCCCUGUCGCGGACAAGGCCCGAGUUCGAUUCUCGGUUGGGGCG